CGGAGUGGCGAACGGGUGAGUAAUACAUCGGAACGUGUCCGCUCGUGGGGGGACAACCAGCCGAAAGGUUGGCUAAUACCGCAUGAGUUCUACGGAAGAAAGAGGGGGACCCGCAAGGGCCUCUCGCGAGCGGAGCGGCCGAUGACUGAUUAGCCGGUUGGUGAGGUAACGGCUCACCAAAGCAACGAUCAGUAGCUGGUCUGAGAGGACGACCAGCCACACUGGGACUGAGACACGGCCCAGACUCCUACGGAAGGCAGCAG
This 263-nucleotide ribosomal RNA is filed under the name uncultured bacterium. Its description in RNAcentral is "partial 16S ribosomal RNA". It matches the Rfam family "Bacterial small subunit ribosomal RNA", at positions 91 to 354 of the family's 1533-position model. The record is from RNAcentral.